CCAGUCCACUCACCGCCGCCGCCAAAGCAAGUCCACCACUCACCACCGCCGCCAAAGCCAGUCCACCACCACCCACCGCCUCCUCCUGCCCCGCAGCCGCAUCCAAUGUGCCCCCCGCCGCCGCCCUGCACCUGUCCGCCACCAGCAUUGCCACCGCCGCCACCCUAUUACCCCGGCACAUUGCCACCUGUGUCCCGUGCAGAAUAUGGAUCACCACCACCGCCACCCUAUAACCCCGACCCAUUGCCACCCGUCACCUGGGCAGAAUAUGGAUCACCGCCACCGCCUUCACGGCAGUGAUGCACAUAGAUUCUCCAAAAAAGAAAAACAUCAUCUGAAGGAAGACAUGGUUUUGCUCUCCCUCCUUACCUCUGUCCAUGGAUGGCAAGCUCACCAAUUUACGUAGUCAUUGUCAUGCUUAGCUGCUAGUGUUCUUGAUCGAUGGCUACCGCCGCGAAGACUUAGUUGCAAGGUGGGCGGAAUUUUCUGGAUUAUGAUUUGUCGCCUGCGCAUCCAGACGAUUUGUGCUGUGGUGUUGAAAGGGAUUGGAGAAUAGGCUGCAGAUUGAAGGCAAAUUUGGUUGUGAAUAAUAAGAGUUUGAGAGGGACAGAAGAGGAUUUGUGAGUGAGUGAGUGAGUGGAUUGUAGGUGCAGCAGGGAUAUAGUAUGUGUGGGGUGUAUAGAGAGAAGCAUGAGUUCAGUUCAAUUUAGCUAAAUUCAGUCAGACAUAAGUUUAGAACAAGAGAUUUUCAGGGUGUUUUCUCUUCCUUUUGCAUCCCAGUUACUUCUUGGUUAUUCGAUUAUUGUAUUUUUUAGUCAGCAUUUCUUAGCUUUCUUCUUAUGCUAAGUGUUUUAACCCGAUCACUUUGACGAAUUGUCUCAUGUCUUUCCUAUUCCUCUGAUGUGUUUCCAGAGUAGAAAUAUUGGAAACAUAUUCUGCUCUGAAUAAUUAGGGGAAAACACCUGCUGUUAUGGUUCUGAGACAUGGUUCAGCUGAUAGUGAUAGGCACUGUGAGGAUUUAGCCUGUGCCGUCGAACUUCAUUCGGAAAAUUAUUCUAAUGCCCCUUCUGUAUCAAAAUUCUAGAAUUCGUCUAAUACUUCCUCUGUAUCAAAAUGUAACAAGUUUUCUGACACUGCAUAGUGUUAAAAAACGUACUGUCCCCAAGUCCUACGUUUAUGAGUGUCCUGCAUCUGAGUUCCUUUUCAUUUGCCCUGCCUACUGUAGCAGGAUGUUAGAACUAUAUAGAUGUAAAUUUGCACAGUAACUUUGCAAGCAUAUUACUCACGAGAGAAUCUACGAAAGCCGCUGAAGUACGUACGAUGACUAGAUCGGUGCAACUUUGCCCGUAUCCUUUUUUCUUGAUAAGGCAUGGUCGAGGUGCUGGUGAGAUCUGGCGCUCCUGCCACGUGCUCGCUUGCUUCAGAAGAAUCCUGCCAGGAGCACCAUUUUUCUUUUCUUCCUCCCAAGAAACAUACUCCACGCCCUGUGUUCUGCAGGCAGCAGCAGCUGCUAUGUUUAUCCUCAUUGUUUACUUCAAGUCUGCAAUCCUGUUGUUAACUCUUUUGAUUAGAUUCAUUUGCUGGUCUUGGAAGGAAAGGGGCAGAGAAGGACAGCCUGAGAUUCCAAUCCGAAUUAUUUUACUGUCUUGACCGUUGUCUGCUUGCCCUUUGUGGCCAAAAGCUUGUGACUGCGAUUGUUAACUAAUUAACCUUUUGCUUUCGGAGCAACGCUCUCUUUGGUAAGUUUUUAUACUGUUAAUUUUCUCCUGGAAGCUCGUAGGACGCCUUGACUGGUGAGUGCUAGUGCUAUGUUCUAUGUGCCACCACACUACACUAGUACACACAUUGGUCGACCGGCCAGCAGCAUUUGGUUCUUUUGAGAGGAAAAAAGAAAGGCCAUCAUGGUCUGAUACCGCACCCCUUUGCGUCCGGGACGACCGUUGCGCGCCUUUUGCUGGUUUUGAUCAUGGCUGCUCUUUUGAUCGCAUCAUUACAGCGCUCACUGGCCGUUUGGAUUGAAACGAGGGUUUACAUUGUCCAUUGGUUUCCUGUGUUCUAAAAUAUUUCAUUUCGUCCGAAUGUAAGAGCAUAUUCAGCCGUUCACACCCUCACAGAGGUUAGAAAAAAGCGCCGCUUGGGGGUGAACCGACGAUAUUUUCGGCGUGGGGCGAUCGGGUUACAAGCCGCCGCCCCCAGACGCCCUUUUUGUAAAUAUUUUUAAAAACAUAUUCGGCCAAAAUUCGGCAAACACGACAUAGAUUCGGCGAUAUUUAGACGUUUCACAGGUUUUUACAUAUAGAAAACAUAUAAUCUACUAAAAGAAGAAAACAAAGGGUUGCUGCCGCGCCUACAGGUCGAAGAACUUGCUGAAGGCGUCGUAUAGUCGCCGCCGUCGUCCUCUUCCUUCUCCUUCACACCAUGGGCGUCACUGCUGGAACCCUGCCUGGGGUCGCCCUGGCGGACUGGUUUGGCCGGGGCGACGCCUCGUCGUCGUUGUCCUCGAGGACGACGACGCCUCCCUCGUCACAGCCACGGCGCCGUGCGGUGAUUUCGUCUAGGGCGCGGCGUUGACGCUCCAUCUCCAGCCGCGCCCAGUCCUCCUGCGCCCACUUCAUGACGGUCUCGUCGUCGAGUGCGGCCACGUCAGCGUGCUCACUCUUCACGAGGGCGAGCCCCGGCUCCAUCUUCAGCUUGACGCGGCGGGAGGUGCUCGAGGAGGCGCGGCCGCCCUCGCUGAUGACGAGGGCGGCGCCGCGGGUGCUCCGGCCGAGUGGCGUUUCCAUGGGCUCGGCCUUGACGCUGACGAGCGCCGGCAACCCGGAGGAGUGGUAGGAGGAUCAGGAGGAGGAGGAGGACCCGCUUAGCAUGCGCCUCGGUAGCCACGGGCCGCCGCUUCGGCGGGGGGCCGGGGCUGCCGGGUACUCGAGCGGUGGAUCGUUGCCGCCCUCGAGGUACUUGAGGACAGCGUGGAGCGUGCAUCCCGGGGCACCCCACCACAGGCGGCGGUCGUCGCUGUUGUUGCUUCCCCUUACCACCGGUGCGUUGUUGAUGGAGGCGAGCUGCUCCGCCUGACGACGUUCGAAGUAGCCGCCCACUCCUCGUGGUUGCCGGUGUCGUACUCCGGGAGGUCCCGUUCCUCCUCCGACAGAGAGGCCCGCACACGCUCGAUCUCAGCGUGGAAGUAGCCGAGGUGUCGGGUGGUAGGUGCGACAUAUGCCAACGGGUGGCUUAUCAUUGUGGGAGCCAGUAAGACGUCGCCGGUGCCUGGAAGCGGGAUGAGGCGAAGACAUGCGCGCCGGCGAAUCUUACCCAGCUUCGGGGCUCUCCGAGGAGAUAACACCUCUACUGCUGCUCUGCGGGGUCUCCGCAUGAUCACUAGAUGAACGAGUGGCUACAAGAUGCUCCUUGAGCUGUUUGGCGAGAGGAAGAAGAAGGGCACGGCUAGCUCUCCUCUCCUCUCUAUGUGGUGUCUAAUACUAGCUCAGAUCAACCCUUUGCAUGGGUGCCCCGGGGGGUUUAUAUAGGCUCACCCCCCGGGGGUACAAUGGUAAUCCGGCUGGGCGUGGGCCCCGGCCGUCUGUGUCUACGCUCGCCGACUUCUGCGCCGGCUGCUGGGUCCCGCCGGCUGCCGGCUCCUUGGUCGAUAGGCAGGCCCCACUGUCCAGGGCCUUGUCGGUGGCUGGUUGCUGUAGCUUCAACCUGGUGACGAGGGCUUCGCCGAGGUGGGCGUGGCUACAGUGCCGCCGCCCGGCGGGCGAUCGCUGUAGCCUCACUGCGUCUUGUCUCCUUAAUGGGGCAUUUACUUCGAGGGAGGAGGCGAGCCGGCCGUGGGGAGCCGGGCCCGUCUUGGGCCGACUAAGGGAGGCCUGGCCGCCUUCGGGUGUCUCUCUGCCUGAAGGGGCCCACCGCCCAUGGGCCACGCUGCCAGCCCGUCGUGGGUGACAUCAGGGCCAACAUGGCAACAGUGCCGCGUCGGACAGGUCAUGGCCACCCCGCACGACGCACUGUGCCAGGCGUGCUCCGGGAUUCGGGGGUGGCAGGCUUUACUGUAGCCACGCCCCGUCACAUCGCCGUUAUGUGGAUGCAGACUUCGAGGGUAGGAUCUUGAUCGCUUGGUGGGAGCCGGCCUCUUGGAGUCGGCCUUCUCGUGGCCGGCUUCUUGGAGCCGGCCCACCCGCGGCUUUCUUCAUGAGGGCUGAAGUCGGGCCGCCUUCUGAUAGUCGGCAUGGGAGACAGCUGGCAAGGGGAAGGCGGCCCCAUGUCUUGGAUUCUUGAGGGCCGGAUCGGCUCAUAAUUUUUUCAGAAGGGACAGGGGGAGCCGGCUAGGCUACCCGUGGUCAUUUACUCCGACAGUAUUCCCCGAAGCUGAUCGAGCUUCGAGGCUAACAAAGGGACGAGAAGCUUGGUCAGCUUCCUAUCCUGAGGAGCCGGCUUUGCUUAUGCGCGCCGUCUUCGGAAAGCUCCAUUUCUCGUAGGCGGGAACACGGGUCGGCCUGUGAGGUGACCGCACGCCAUCCCGCGGGCCACGUGGCAAGGAAAACCUGCCAACGCGCGUGCGCGAUGGGACGUCGCCGCAGGCCCGGGCCCGCCACUCCUAGGCCUCAGCCCGAGCGCGGAUCCUCUGCGGCCCACACGGACCGCUUGCCUUCCCGCGGCGGUUUUAUUACGCCAUCAGGGCGCAAUAAUCGCAGGACGUGGGGGAGUGGGCGCAGUUGAUCUCACGUUCCCCCACACCACGCCUCCUCGGCUCCGCCGCAUGGGUCUAUAAGUAGGGGGAGGAGGGGGAGCGGCAGAGGCUCGCACGCUCUCCCUUGCUCCGCCCCUUCUCGCCUUCCUUCUUCUUCCCUUCGCCGCCGCAGCGAUCCAUUGCCGCGCCGCUCCGCCGUCGGACCUCUCGGUUCCUUUGGUCCCGCCGUAGCGGGGUCGUGCGCGUCUCCGCCGUCGCAUCGUCUUGUUCCUCGCCGCGUCACUCCCAUGGCGUUGUCGAGCUCGUGGGAUGGCUCCAACGUCCACGAGGACCACGUUGAGUUCCUCCGCCGGACGCAGCGUCUGCCGGGCGAGAACUACGUGCGGGUUCGUCAGGCGCCGGCGAGGGAGAUUUUGCCGGCACUGGAGGAGGGCGAGCGGGUAAUCUUCCGCUCGCACUGCCUGCGCGGCUUCGGCCUCCCGGCGAGCGGAUUCCUUCGCGCUUUUCUUGAAUUCUACCACCUCCAGCCGCACCACCUCACGCCCAACGCAGUGAUGCUGCUGUCGGCUUUCGUCACCUUGUGCGAGGAAUUUCUUGGGGUUCUCCCCACUCUCGAGCUCUGGGGAGAAUUCUUCCAGAGCAAGCUCGGCACCGUUGUCGCGGGUGUGCCCGCCCCCUGCGGAGCCUUCAUUGCCAUGAGGCGGACGGGCGAGAACAAUCCGUUCCCGCCCAUCCCGCUGAUCCAGUCGGUGAAGCUCUGGCAGAAGUCCUAUUUUUACGUGAAGAACGUCGCCCAGCAAGGCGACUAUGUCAACCUGCCGGCUUACGUAGCCGGCCCGCCGGCUGGGAGGCAACCCUCAUGGAGCUACCGGGCCAGGUCGUUGUCUCAGGCCGGGAACGCAGCCGUCUCCCGGCUUCGGGUGAUGAUCCAGUCGGAGGGCCUGACCGGAGCCGACCUGGUGGCCGCCUUCGUGGAGCGCCGAGUACUUCCGCUCCAAGGCCGGCCUCACAUGAUUUGCCAGAUGAGCGGCCGCUUCGACCCCUGCCAGCUGAGCACUAGGGAGAUGCCUCAUGCCGAGGUGUCUUACAUGGUGAACUACAUCUCCAACUGCAAGCUCGCCGAGGAUUGAUGAUACGGCAAGGGGCCGUAUUCUCGCGCCAACCCUCCGCCUGCCGUAAGUUUUUCUUCUUUUCUUCCUUUUUGUAGCCGGCCUCGUGAUGGCCGACUUCUGAUCAAUUGGUUUGCCCUUAGCAGAACCCUCUUCUUCCGCCGACGGUCGGGGCCACAGGGGUAGAGCGCCAGCUCCUCCCCGACCGCACGGUGGACGACGUCGACGAUCCGGACCUGGGAGCGGCUGCCAUGGAAGACGCCAUCAUGGGGGAAGGCGACGAGGCAGGAGGCGCGGGGCUCGGGGCCGGCCUCGAGGACUGGGCGGACGAUGACGAGGUCGAAGCCGCCCGGCACCGCCAGCCGGCGCUUGAUCAUCAAGGCGCGGGCCCGUCUGCCGGGCCGGCUGCCCAUGGUGGUGCGCAGAAACGCCGGGCCGCGUCGACCUUCUUCGGCAGCCGGCCAAAGAAAUCCAAGGCUUCCAUGGCGGCGACCAAGAGGGAUGAGGCGGCCGUGAAGGCGGCCCGCUUCCGCAAGGCGGUGAAACAGCCGCAGGCGAUCUCGGCGUAAGUCGUCAAAUGUCUUGUAUUUUUUUUGUGUUGUCCUCUUGGAUUGAAGCUCUUCUAAACCUUUCUUUGCUCGCCGGGCAGGGCACCGCUUUCCCUCGAGCGAGGUCCUGGCGGCUCCGUAGUUGGACCGACUGGAGGGUCCUCAGGCUCCCGCCACGUGGAUCCCCGCGCCGACCUCAUGGAGGCCACGGAGCGGAACGCACGGGAGGUGUGGGAGGAGCGGGAGGCGGUGGAGCGAAGGACCGCCCAGGCGGCGAAGGAGCAGGCCGACGCGGCGGCCAAGGCCCGGGCGGAGGCGGCAGCCACGGAGACGGAGGCGGAGGCCUCGCACAACUAGCCCCCGCUGCUCGUCGUUCCCCUCCGCGCCGUGGCCCCCGACAUCCCCGUGCCCCCGUCGGAGGAGGUCGACCAAGACCCGCCGGUGAUGGAGAGGAGGGAGGGCCACGUGGUCUUCGUGGAGGAGGCACCGCAGACGGCACCGACUGGAGCGGGCCAAAGCGGCUAACCAGCCGUGGCGCCAGAGCAGCCGGCCGGGGGCGACCGGAGGCAGGGGCCGGCCUCGAGGUGUAGCCGGCAUUGCAGCAACGCGCAGGGGGAGGUACCUCCGCGCCGGAGCCACACUGAGCUGCGGGCGCUAGCCAGACGACGGAGGCCCUGGAGGCGGCCAGCGCCAGCACGUCCGAGUGGACUCCCAGCGGGGGGACAGGCGAGCUGAACGCGGCGGCCCAGGAGGUCCGGAACCGGCUUCAAGCCCAGGCCGCUUCGCUGCAGCGAUAUACCCAACAGUUCCUCGCGACGCGGGCCAUCAUCCGGGUGAGCCCUCUGGCCUUGGUUGUUUUGCUUUUUUCUUUUCUUCCGUGGGGGUGCGUCAGCACACCCACUGGGUGUAGUCCCCGAGUUACGAGUCGGCUGCUGAGCAGGUGGCUUGGAACUUACUAGGUCCUGACAGCUAUCUUAUUCUUUCCUCCUGUCUGAUCUUCCAGGAGUACCAUAACCUCCGCGCUGCUGCCUUCAACUCCCAGGCUCAGGAGCUGGGCCGGAAAACCGAGGACCUGACCAGCAGGCAGAGUGCGUGCUUUGUUUCGUUCAUCUCCCGUGGGGGCGCGUCAGUGCACCCACUGGGUGUAGUCCCCGAGAUUCGGGCCGACUGCUGAGCAGUCGGGUCGGAUCUUCCUUGACGACUUCUUCCUUAUUGAUUUUUCCUUUGUCUUCAUGCUUGCAGGAGCCAAUGCCGACUUGAGGGGGUAGCUCAGCGGGGCCCAGGCCGCCCUUCGUGCCAAGGAAGCCGAGUACAACGCCUUGGUCCUGGAGCGUGACCGCCUGGCCAAGAAGUUGGCCGACCAGGAGGAGAGCCACAAGGCGGCCUUGAAGAAGGCGCAGGACAGCGAGGACGCCCUGAAGGCCGAGUUCGAGACCGAAGCGGCGGGCUGGGCUGAGGCAAAACAAGCGCUGAGCGAGGGCUUCUGCCGGAUUGAGGAUCUGAUCGAUGGUAAGCCACCUUCCUCACUCGUUGCUUGCCCCUUGCCCCCUGAUUUGUGUUCUGACUUGCGCUGCUUUUUGUUCUCUGUGCAGACUACUUCCCCGGCUACUCUGUCUUGGCCACCCAAACCAUCAAGGCCCAUCGCGAGGCACGCCGGCAGGCGGGGGCUGAAAUCGCGCCGGACGCGAGCCGGACGCUGGAGGAGCAACUCUUGGCGGUCCAAGCCCGGCUGCAGCCGGCCCACCGCAUGCUCCGCCGCCUCCAGCGCGCUGGGGCGCAGGUGUUGGCCACCCUCUGGCCAGGAGAAACGAUUCCCCGCACCCCGAGUUGGACUGCCGACUGCCUGGAGGUUGCGGUGGCCGCUUCGAGGCCUGGAAGGCAUCGGCGGCCCGGCUUGGAGCUUGGCGGGCGCUGCAGUUCAUUCGAGCCUGGUAUCCUGGGCUGAACCUGGACCAGCUGCGCACCUGGCGGCUGGAGGCCGACGAGGAGAUGGAGGAGGUGCGGCCGACUAUCGCUCAGCGUGCCUCGACGAUCGCCGAGUGCACUGACAUCAGCGUCUUUGCUCCUAAAAUAAAUGACGACGGUGUUGCCCAGCCGGAGGAAUGGUUCGGGCUGGAUCCGGCAGCGGGUGAGGACUCGGCAGAGGAGAUCGCUUCCAGCGAUGAAGGAGAAGACGACGAACGGGAGGAAGGCGAAGACGUCGAGCCGGCCAGUGAAGCGGCCAGCCAGCCCCAGCCUGACCGUGCCUCCAGCAACGAGGCGCGUGCUAGCGCGCCCUCUGCGGGAGGUGGUGAUCAUGACGAGGUUCGCCAGCCGGCCACUCCUCCAGCCAGCACUGCCGUCUCCACCGACCUGCCCGACUCGCCAGUCGCUCCCUUGGCUUAAUCUGUCGUCCUUGCUUUUCCUGCUUGUUACUCUUUGAACAAUUUUUGUUAAACUUGCGCAGUUCCACCCACUGGGGGUGUAUUCAAACUAUGUUGAAUGCUGGCCUUUCGAAGGCCUUUUGUGUAAGUAUGAUCGUGUGUGUGUUUGGCUUCCAUUCGUGUAUGCUUUUUAUCUUUAGGCUAUUUCCUUUGCCGCCUUCCCCUAGCUGCUGCCUUCCCAACCGGCAGCUGCUCUGCAGCCUGCGGCUAAGGAAGAACUUGGCUAUAUUUAUUAUUAUUAUUUUUGGGGAAGGCAAGUACUCGAGCUUUCUUAGAUUGAAGCUAGGUGAAUGGAAGCCGGCCGGCUGGCUACUCUGGUAGUCGGUCGGUGGUGGGAGAAAAACCAGCUUUUGUUAUAUUAGUCCGUUAGUCCCUAGCCGUUUUUCGUGUGGGCGUCCUUUCCUGCCUUUAACUCUUGCCAGCCGGACAGCCGGUUCUUCGAACUGCGACUUUUGGUAAGAGAAGGCUUGGGUGUCGGCACACUACUUGUCUGACCGCGGGUAGGACUUCUAAUAUAACUGAAGGCGGUCAGUCCCCAGGCCGACUAGUCGAACCCGGUGCCGGACGAAAAAAGUGAAUGUAAUGACAUGAUCAUAAGCAUGAUAUUCUUCAUUUAUAGAUAAAAGAUGGCAGCCCCCGAGCUCUCCUCGGGGGGCCUAUUGUCUCGUACUUAGUACAAAAGUUAGCGUGAUACAUACUGCAUUUCAACUGUAAAAUCUUCGGAGGAGGUUGGCGUUCCAUGGUCGUUCUGACUCUUGGCCGGAGUCGUCUCUCUUUCGUGCCUUCGGCUUCUGUGCGUCGAUUAGGUAGUAGGUGUCAUUUCCCAGCGCUCUGCUGAUGACGAAGGGGCCUUCCCAAGGGGCCGAAAGCUUGUGCUGGCCGGCUGUUCGCUGGAUCAGCCGGAGCACGAGGUCGCCCUCUUGGAAAGAUUUUGGUUUGACCUUCCAGCUGUGGUAGCGGCGCAAGCUCUGCUGGUAGAUGGCGGACCGGCCGAGGGCUAACAGCCGGCCUUCUUCCAGCAGGUCGACGCCGUCUUCUCGUGCUUCCUUGGCAUCCGCCUCUGUGUACAUGGUUACCCGAGGCGAGUCGAACUCGAUGUCGGUUGGGAUGACCGCCUCAGCACCAUACACGAGGAAGAAAGGAGUGAAGCCGGUUGACUUGUUUGGGGUAGUGCACAGACUCCAGAGGACGGCCGGCAGCCCAUCGAGCCAACAGCUGACCGAACGUUCCAGUGGUAUGACCAGUCGGGGCUUGAUGCCGGAAAGGAUGAGGCCGUUGGCUCGCUCGACUUGGCCGUUUGACUGCGGGUGGGCAACGGACGCUAAGUCCAACCAGAUGCCCUGCGUCGCGCAGAAACGUGCCAAAGCUCCUUUGGUGAAAUUCGUGCCGUUGUCGGUGAUGAUGCUAUGUGGCACGCCAUAGCGAGUUGUUAUAUCUGCGAUGAAUGUCACGGCAGUCGGCCCAUUCAGCUUCUUGAUUGGCUUUGCCUCAAUCCAUUUGGUGAAUUUGUCCACGGCGACAAGCAGAUGUGUCAUGCCGCCGCACGUCGUCUUGAAUGGGCCCACCAUGUCCAGUCCCCAAACAGCGAGGGGCCAAGUGAGGGGAAUGGUCUUGAGUGCCGAAGCCGGCAUGUGUUGCUUGGAGCUGAAGACUUGUCACCCUUUGCAAUGUUUAACUAACUCCUUGGCGUCAUCCAAGGCAGUUGGCCAAAAGAACCCAUGGCGGAAAGCUUUGGCGACGAGUGAUCUUGAGGCCGCAUGGUGGCCGCAUUCUCCUUGGUGGAUGUCUCUGAGGAUUGCAAUGCCCUUCUCUUGCUCGACGCAUCGUUGGAAGACUCCAGUGACGCUGCGCCUGACGAGCUCUCUAUUGACGAUUGUGUAUGCUCCGGCUCGGCGUUGGACUUGUCUUGCCUCUAUUUCAUCAGCCGGCAGAUCUUGGUUUAUUAGGAAGUUAAGGAUGGACUGAGCCCAUGAUGGAGCUGCGACUUCUUCUAUUGCCAACACGGCUACUGCGACCAGGGCGGGCGAGCUGGGUGGUGAAAUGCUGGAGUCGGCCGCCGCCUGUUGCGUUGGUGCAGUCCCCGGGCCGACUACCGCAGUCCCCGAGUCGGGUGUGGCAGUCCCCGGGUUGGGCGUAACUAUGGAAGUCCCUGAGCCGCUUACUGACGUCCCCGGGCCGACUAUCGAAGUCUCCGGGUCACCUGCUGGGUUCUUCGAGCCGGACCCGGCCGCGUCGGGGUCAGGCGGCACGAAGAUGGAAUCGGACUCUGGAGACGGCUUGAUAGAAUGCUUGAGGAGGCGUUGCAGAGAGACACCGGUUGGUAUUGCCUGCCGAGUGGAGCCUAUUCGAGCCAGGGUAUCAGCUGGCUCGUUGUCGGCUCGCGGUACGUGGAGGAACUUGCAUCCUUCAAAGUACCCGCUGAUCUGCUGAACGAGGAAGCGGUAGCUUGCCAUAUUUGCGUCCUUGGCAUCCCAGUCACCGGAUGAUUGCUGGACUACCAAGUCCGAGUCGCCAUAACAUAGGAUCCGGCGUAUGCCGAGCUCUUUGGCAAGCCGGAGCCCGUGUAUGAGCGCCUCGUACUCGGCCACGUUGUUGGAGGCGGCAAAGUGAAUUUGCAGUGUGUAUCUGAGCUUGUCGCCUUUGGGAGAGGUGAGGAUGACUCCGGCUCCCAAGCCGGUGCGCAUCUUGGACCCGUCAAAGUGCAUGCGCCAAUGAGUGGAGUCAGGAGCUGGCAGUAGGUACUGGGUCUUGGCCCAGUCGACGAGGAAGUCGGCCAGUGCUUGGGACUUGAUGGCGGUGCGAGGCUGGUAGAAGAUCGUGUAGGGGGCCAGCUCGAUGGCCCAUUUCGCCACCCAGCCGGAUGCAUCCCGGUUGCCUAUGAUCUCGGCAAGCGGGGCGGUGCAUACGACCGUGAUGAGGUGCUCUUGGAAGUAGGGCUUUAGCUUCUUGGCGGCGAAGUACAUGCCAUAGCACAUCUUCUGGUAGUGCGGGUAGUUCUGCUUUGAGGUAGACAACACCUCGCUCAAAUAGUACACCGACCUCUGGACCGGCUGGGCUCGACCCUCUUCUGGGCGCUGGACUACGAUGACGGUGCUGACCACCCGACUGGUUGCAGCAAUGUAGAGGAGCAUGGGCUCUUUCUCAGUCGGUGCCGCCAGGACAGGCGGCGUGGCCAGCAUCUUCUUCAGCUCAUGAAAAGCUUGGUCGGCUUGGUCGUUCCACUCGAAGUGAGUGGUCUUCUUCAUGAGGCGGUAGAGGGGGAGAGCUUUCUCUCUGAGCCGGCUGAUGAAGAGGUUCAGGGAGGCCAAGCACCCGGUGAACUUCUGGACGUCUCGAAGUUUGGUGGGAAUCGCCAUUCUCUCAAUGGCCUUGAUCUUUAUUGGGUUGCAUUCAAUGCCGCGUUCGGAGACCAGGAAGCCUAGGAGCUGGCCGGCUGGCACUCCGAACACGCAUUUCUCGGGGUUGAGCUUGAUCUGGAACCGGUGCAGGUUUUCAAAUGUUUCCUUGAGGUCCUCCAGCAAGGUGUCGCGCUUCUCCGUCUUCACCACAAUGUCGUCUACGUAGACGUGGGCAUUUCUGCCUAGCUGCUUGAGGAGGCACUUCUGCAUGCAACACUGAAAAGUGGCACCGGCAUUUCUCAAGCCGAAUGUCAUAGUCAGGUAGCAGAAAGCUCCGAAUGGCGUGAUGAAGGCGGUCUUCAGGCGGUCAGCCGGAUCUAGCUUUAUCUGGUGGUAUCCUGAGUAAGCAUCCAAGAAACUCAACAGCUCGCAUCCGGCCGUGGAGUCUAUCACUUGAUCAAUCCUUGGCAGGGCAAAGGGAUCUUUGGGGCAGGCCUUGUUGAGGCUUGUGUAGUCUAUGCACAUGCGCCACUUGUUCUUCUUCUUUAGCACGAGGACCGGGUUGGCGAGCCACUCUGGAAAAAAAACCUCCAUAAUGAAGCCAGCUGCCAGAAGCUGGGCUAUCUCCUCUCCCACAAUCCUUCUUUUCUCCUCCAACAGUCGGCGGAGGGGUUGUUUGACUGGUUUUGCGCCUUCUCGGACGUGUAGCUUGUGCUCGGCGAAUUCCUUCGGAACACCCAGCAUGUCCUUAGGGGACCAUGCAAAGAUAUCCCGAUUCUCGGGGAGGAAGUCGGCGAGCUCGCCUUCCUAUUUGCUGUUUAGGUUUGCCCCGAUAACGGCAAACCUUUCUGGGUGCUCGGGGUCAAGAGGUAUCUUCUUCGUCUCCUUGGCCGGCUGGAAAGAUCCUUGGGCAUCACACACCUUGGGAUCGGAGGACAGGGCCGACUGUUUGCUGGCCAUGGCCACGACUCGGUCCAACAUCUUCUUUUCUUCGGCAGUCACCAGGGACUCGGCCAGCCGGCUGCUGGCUGCAGCGCACUCAGAAGAUUUCUUGUAAUCGCCGGCUAUGGUGAGGAUGCCCUUGGCGCUCGGCAUCUUCAUCUUGAGGUAAGAAUAGUGGGGAACAGCCAUGAACCUGGCCAAGGCAGGACGGCCAAGCAAUGCAUGGUAGGGGCUCUCCAGGUCCACCACUUCAAACCAGAUCGCUUCUUGGCGGAAAUGCUCCUUGUCCCCAAAGAGUACAUCAAUCUUGAUCUUGCCAAUGGGGGCGCAGGACAGGCCAGGUACAAUGCCAUGGAACACAGUUCGAGUAGGCAUGAGUUGCUUCGUCUUGACGUUCAGCUUCUCCAGGGUGUCACGGUACAGGAUGUUGAUGCUGCUCCCGCCGUCUAUCAGCACUCGGGAGAAACGGGCGGCGCGUCUUUCCGUUGCAAGGGUGGCAUCCAAAACCAACGCAUAAGAGCCGGGAGAUGGCAUCACCUCUGGGUGGUCGGCCCGGCUCCAGCUGAUAGGCUUUUCUGACCAGUGCAUGUGCUCGGCGGGGUUGGUAGCGACCAUGUUGACUUCUUGGUGCUCUCGGCGUCCGCUACGCCGGCCUUCGGGCUGGCUUGUAAAGACGAUGUAGGCGGCAUGCUCGUCGGGGAACUCAUCGUGCACAGCUCCGACUGCUGGCCGAGCGGUCAGCGGCUGUGGAGCCGGAGGCGGCGGGCCAGCAGGCGGAGGCGGCGCGAGCCCUUCGCCUUUGGAGAUUCGGGUGAGCCAGUGGCACUUCCGGGUUGUGUGGUUGGACGGCUUCGCACCGCUGUGGAACUUGCAUGGGGCUUCGAGAGUUUGCUCGUAGGAGAAGGCCGGCUGCCAAGCCGGCCUACCGCCCUUCGGCUUCUUGGGUGCGGGCCACCCUUCGGGCUGCUUGUCCUCGACUGUGGCCACCUGCCGGCUAGUGGAGAGCGGCACGGGGCCCUUGCGCUUGUGGUCGUUCUGGUACGAGCGUCAGCCGGAGUCCCCAGCCGGCGUCUUGUGCACCGGGUUGAUUACCUUCCCGGACGCGUCUACCCGGAGUUCAGUCUUCAUUGAGGAGUUGGCGGUGGCGUACUUGUCCGCUAUGACCAGAAGCUCGUCGAGGGUAGUCGGCUCGUCGCAGAGGAGCUUGUGCUUGAGGAGGGUGCCUUCUCGGCAUCCGGCGGUGAAGUAUUCUAUGGCUUGCACCUCGUGCACCCCUUCGCAAGAGUUGCGGAGCUCGGCCCAACGCGUGAGGUAGUCGCGGGUGGACUCGGCGGGGCCUUGUACGCACAAGGAGAGCUGUCGGGGCUUGGGGGCGCGCUUGUAGGUGCUGGUGAAGUUGCAGACGAAGGCCUCCGUGAAGUCUAGCCAGCUAUUGAUGCUGUAGGGCCUGAGGCUAUUGAGCCAGGUCCGCGCCGUGCCUUGCAGCAUGAGGGGCACGUACUUCAUGGCAACGCACCUGUUGCCGUUUGCUAUGCGAACCGCUGUGGAGUAAUCGAUCAACCAAUCUUCCGGCUUCACAAAGCCGUUGUACUUGGGCGUGUCUCUUGGGAGCGAGAACCCUUUGGGGAAAGGCUCGUCGCGGAUGCGGGGGCCGAAGCAAGGUGGGCCGACAUCGUCUUCUUCUUCUAGCGCUAGGGAUCGCGCUAGGCGGUCGAUCCGAUGGCGGGCGUCGUUCUCGCCGACUCCUUCACGGAGACCUAGUCGGCCGCUGAGAGUCGGAUGCGUGACAGGCGGCGGGGUGGGAUAUCUCUCCCCACGAGGCGGAGGCGGAGGCGGGUUGCCCCGCCGCUCCACGGCCCGGGGACGGCCUUCUGCGUCUCGCUCGAUGGAGGUCCGGGUUCGGUUUCGGCUGGCAGCCGGCUCCUUCUCGCGUCGCGCGCGGGUUUUACCCGCAGUCGGCGUCCGGGACGUCGCGCCGUGCUCUCGGCGCGGGGAAGGGCUUUCCGCGCGGGCGUCGGCUUCGUGCCACUCUGCGACUGCAUCGAUUAGUUGCUGGAUGCACCUGGUCAUGUGGGGGAGUUCUUCGGCCCCCAUUCCAUCUAGCUCGUCUACGGCCGCUUGGGCGGCGCGCAGGUUCUCGAGCGGAGUGGCAUAGACUGGGCGGUCGACCCCUAGUGUGUCGGCGAGGGUAGCGCCGCGCUGUCUGACAACGCCGGCUCAGCUUGGCCCGCCUGGGGGCGGCAUGCCAAAGGCGGCGCGGUCGGCUUCACGCUGGUGGGCCUCGGUGAGGCGUCUCAUGGAAGCCAACUUCCGGCCCUCCGCGAGGAGGGCGAGGCGGCGAGCCUCCAGUGCUUCGGCGCCGGCAUCGGCCGGGAGGGGGAUGGACAAAUCGUGGACCGCUGCAUGCGGGGCGUCGAGGGCAUUCUCACCAGAAGCGUAGCCGUGGCCGAUGACCAUCACCUCGGUGGUGGCGCCGUCGCAGCCAUCGGCCCGGGGAAGAGGGUCGUUGUAGAUCGCGACGUUGGUGGGGAAAGCGUCGAGCGAGGCCGUGUCGGAGUCGACAGGCAUCGGAUCGGUGGAGCCAACAGACUCCAAGUCCACAGCAAGCUCGCCGGAGACGUGGAGCUAGCCGAGGAGGUUGACGAGGUGGUCGGUGCCCGCGUCAGAGGUGAGCUCAUCGGAGAUGAGGGUCUUGUCAAGGAGAUCUGCGAGGCUGCUCGCUGCGCAGACGUUGGCGACGCCUUGCACCGCGUCAUGGCAAGCGCCAUCGGGCGUGCCGGGCUGGCUACGCUCGCUGGGGAGGAAGAGGGUUCCCGUCCAGAACAGGUCUCUGGACGACGGUGCACCUGGCCCCAUGGUGGGCGCCAAAUGUCGGGUGGUAGGUGCGACAUAUGCCAAUGGGUGGCUUAUCAUUGUGGGAGCCAGUAAGACGUCGCCGGUGCCUAGAAGCGGGAUGAGGGGAAGACAUGCGCGCCGGCGAAUCUUACCCAGCUUCGGGGCUCUCCGAGGAGAUAACACCCCUACUGCUGCUCUGCGGGGUCUCCGCAUGAUCACUAGAUGAACGAGUGGCUACAAGAUGCUCCUUGAGCUGUUUGGCGAGAGGAAGAAGAAGGGCACGGCUAGCUCUCCUCUCCUCUCUAUGUGGUGUCUAAUACUAGCUCAGAUCAACCCUUUGCAUGGGUGCCCCGGGGGGUUUAUAUAGGCUCACCCCCCGGGGGUAUAAUGGUAAUCCGGCUGGGCGUGGGCCCCGGCCGUCUGUGUCUAUGCUCGCCGACUUCUGCGCCGGCUGCUGGGUCCCGCCGGCUGCCGGCUCCUUGGUCGAUAGGCAGGCCCCACUGUCCAGGGCCUUGUCGGUGGCUGGUUGCUGUAGCUUCAACCUGGUGACGAGGGCUUCGCCGAGGUGGGCGUGGCUACAGUGCCGCCGCCCGGCGGGCGAUUGCUAUAGCCUCACUGCGUCUUGUCUCCUUAAUGGGGCGUUUACUUCGAGGGAGGAGGCGAGCCGGCCGUGGGGAGCCGGCCCCGUCUCGGGCCGACUGGGGGAGGCCUGGCCGCCUUCGGGUGUCUCUCUGCCUGAAGGGGCCCACCGCCCGUGGGCCACGCUGCCAGCCCGUCGUGGGUGACAUCAGGGCCAACAUGGCAACAGUGCCGCGCCGGACGGGUCAUGGCCACCCCGCAGGGCGCACUGUGUCAGGCGUGCUCCGGGAUUCGGGGGUGGCAGGCUUUACUGUAGCCACGCCCCGUCACAUCGCCGUUAUGUGGAUGCAGACUUCGAGGGUACGAUCUUGACCGCUUGGUGGGAGCCGGCCUCUUGGAGUCGGCCUUCUCGUGGCUGGCUUCUUGGAGCCGGCCCUCCCGCGGCUUUCUUCAUGAGGGCUGAAGUCGGGCCGCCUUCCGAUAGUCGGCAUGGGAGACAGCCGGCAAGGGGAAGGCGGCCCCAUGUCUUGGAUUCUUGAGGGCCGGAUCGGCUCAUAAUUUUUUCAGAAGGGACAGGGGGAGCCGGCUAGGCUACCCGUGGUCAUUUACUCUGACACGAGGUGUUCGGCAUCGGGCAGCGGGGGGACUAGGACGCCCCCGGUGCUGAGCCUCCAUCGCCCCGGCGCACGUAUGUUAAGGGGCGCCGGGUAGUUUGCCUCGUGGAGGAGGUGGGCUUCCCACUCGUGCAGAGAGCGACCGCUGAAGCCAUUAGCUGUCGCCUGGAAACCGUUCACCCAUCAGCUGGGCGUGCACGCGGUGGCUAGACGGGGAGUGAGAAAAAAAGAGGACGUCCGCGGCGAGAGAGGGGGGCUGCGGGCGGGUGCAUCCACCGACGAGGGAGNNNNNNNNNNNNNNNNNNNNNNNNNNNNNNNNNNNNNNNNNNNNNNNNNNNNNNNNNNNNNNNNNNNNNNNNNNNNNNNNNNNNNNNNNNNNNNNNNNNNNNNNNNNNNNNNNNNNNNNNNNNNNNNNNNNNNNNNNNNNNNNNNNNNNNNNNNNNNNNNNNNNNNNNNNNNNNNNNNNNNNNNNNNNNNNNNNNNNNNNNNNNNNGGGAGGGGCGCACCACGACACUGCGCCGCCCAUGAGGAAUCAAUGGAAGGCUGAACGGUGGCAGCCUUGGCACUGAUUCCCCGUGGGAAACCGGGGCGAUGAGGACGACGAGGCGCGGGGGUCACUGACUCGACGGGCCUGCUAUUAUUUUGCGCAAAAAACGAUUGCCCCAGCGCCCGCCAGCGUGCCGGGUUCGGCCUAGGUCCGCCGGCGCCAGUUUCAGGCCUAACCGGCAAAAAUUGGGCUCCUGGGGGCAUAACUGGGCCGUUUUUCAGCGCCGAUGCUAAAAAUGGCCUUGGGGGCCUGUUGGGGGCGCGGUUGGAGAUGCUCUAAGCGCAUCUGGAACAAUGACUGAUGUGGAGCAUCCUACGUCUCCUCAAAUGCCAAGUGGACCAUUGGCAUGAGCACGUCCAAGAGCUCUCCAGACCGAGGUGACAUCUCUCCUUAGUGACAUUCUGUAUGACCCACAUGAGACAUGACUACUACCUAAAUUCGGAAUACUAUAUGUGCUUAGGUACCAAGAAGACCCUCUCGGAGAUGCCCGUGAUGAUGGAUAAGUCCCCAAGUACAUGGAUGAAGGAGCAUGACGAGAGGAGCCGGAGAAAGGCCACAAUGAAGGAAAUAUGCCCUAGAGGCAAUAAUAAAGUUGUUAUUUCAUAUUUCCUUAUCCAUGAUACAUGUUUAUUAUUCAUGCUAGAAUUGUAUUGGUCGGAAACCUAAAUACAUGUGUGAAUACAUAGACAAACACGGUGUCCCUAGUGAGCCUCUACUUGACUAGCUCGUUGAUCAAAGAUGGUUAAGGUUUCCUAACCAUGGACAUGAGUUGUUAUUUGAUAACGGGAUCAUAUCAUUAGGAGAAUGAUGUGAUGGACAAGACCCAUCUAUUAGCUUAGCAUAUUGAUCGUUCAGUUUUAUUGCUAUUGCUUUCUUCAUGUCAAAUACAUAUUCCUUCGACUAUGAGAUUAUGCAACUCCCGGAUACUGGAGGAAUGCCUUGUGUGCUAUCAAACGUCACAACGUAACUAGGUGAUUAUAAAGAUGCUCUAUAGGUAUCUCUGAAGGUGUUUGUAGAGUUGGCAUAGAUCAAGAUUAGGAUUUGUCACUCCGAGCAUCGUAGAGGUAUCUCUAGGGCCUCUCGGUAAUACACAUCAUAAGAAGCCUUGCAAGAAAAGUGACUAAUGAGUUAGUUGCACGAUGAUGUAUUACGAAACGAUUAAAGAGACUUGCCGGUAACAAGAUUGAACUAGGUAAGAAGAUACCGAUGAUGAUCUCGGGCAAAUAACAUACCGAUGGACAAAGGGAAUUACAUAUGUUGUCAUAACGGUUAGACCGAUAAAGAUCUUUGUAGAAUAUGUAGGAGCCAAUAUGAGCAUCUAGGUUUCGCUAUUGGUUAUUGACCGGAGAGGUGUCUCGGUCAUGUCUACAUAGUUCUCGAAUCCGUAGGGUCCGCACGCUUAACGUUCAUUGACGAUACAAUGUUAAAUGAGUUAUAUGAUUUGGUGACCGAAUGUUGUUUAGAGUCCCAGAUAUGAUCAUAGACAUGACGAGGAGUCUCAAAAUGGUCGAGAGGUAAAGAUUGAUAUAUAUGAUGAUAGUAUUCGGACACCGGAAGUGUUCCAGAGUAUAUAGGGUAUUUAUCGGAGUACCGAAGGGGUUACCGGAACCCCCGAGGGGAAUAUAUGGGCCAUAUGGGCCAUGAGAGGGGAGCACACCGGCCCACAAGGGGUGGCACGCCCCCUUAUGGCAGGAGGCCGAAUUGGGAGAAGGAAAAAGGGGGUUCGCCCCCCCUUUCCUUUCUCUCUUCCCCCUUCCCUUUCUUCUCCGGUGAAAUAAGGAAGGGGGCGCCACUUGGGGAAACCCCAAGUAGGAUUCAGAUCCUACUUGGGGCGUGCCCUGGCUGCCUCCCCUCUCCCUCCCACCUAUAUAUAUGUGGGGGGCGCCCCUAGCACACCCAAGACAAUUGCCUAGCCGUGUGCGGUGCCCCCUCCACCGUUUACUCCCACGGUCAUAUCUUCGUAGUGCUUAGGCGAAGCCAUGUGCGGAUCACUUCACCAUCACCGUCACCAUGCUGUCGUGCUGAAGGAACUCAUCUACUACCUCGACAUCUUGCUAGAUCAAGAAGGCGAGGGACGCCAUCGAGCUGAACGUGUGCAGAACUCGGAGGUGCCGUACGUUCGGUACUUGAUUGGUCGGAGCUAGAAGAAGUUCGACUACAUCAAUCGCAUUGUCAAACGCUUCCUCUUUCAGUCUACGAGGGUACGUAGACACUCUCCCCCCUCGUUGGUAUGCAUCUCCAUGGAUAGAUCAUUGCGUGUGUGUAGAAUUUUUUUCCAUGCAACGAUUCCCACAGUGGCAUCAUGAGCCAGGUCUAUGCGUAGAUGAUAUGCACGAGUAGAACACAAAGAGUUGUGGGUGGUGAUAGUCAUACUGCUUACCACCGAUGUCUUAUUUUGAUUCGGCAGUGUUGUUGGAUGAAGCGGCCCGGACCAACAUUACAUGUCCACGCACAUGAGACCAGUUCCACCGACAGACAUGCAACUAGUUUUGCAUAAAUGUGGCUGGCGGGUGUCUGUUUCUCCUACUUUAGUUGAAUCGGAUUUGACUGCAACCGGUCCUUGAAGAAGGUUAAAACAACAAACUUGACGAAACACCGUUGUGGUUUGAUGCGUAGGUAAGAAUGGUUCUUGCUAGAAGCCCGUAGCAGCCAGGUAAAACUUGCAGCAACAAAGUAGACGACAUCUAACUUGUUUUUGCAGGUCAUGUUGUGAUGUGAUAUAGAUACAUCUCCAAUGUAUCUAUAAUUUUUUAUUGUUCCAUGCUGUUAUAUUAUCAUUCCUGGAUGUUUUAUAAUCAUUUUUUGGGACUAACCUAUUAACAUAGUGCCAAGUGCCAAUUGCUAUUUUUGCAUGUUUUUUACAUCGCAGGAAAUCAAUAUCAAACGGAGUCCAAACACCGGGAAACAUUUUGGAGAUCUUUUAUGGACCAGAACACUGAGGAUGUGCCAGAGCAGCACCUGGGGGGGUGCCCCGAGGGGGGCACAACCCACCAGGGCGCGCCCAGGUGGGUUGUGCCCACCUCGGUGGCCUCCCGCACCCCCUCUUUACCCUAUAAAUUUUAGAAACCCUCGGGGUUAACCCGGAUCAGAAGUUCUGCCGCCGCAAGGCUCUGUAGCCAUCAAAAACCAAUCUAGACCCCGUUCCAGCACCCUGUCGGAGGGGGGAAUCAUCUCCGGUGGCCAUCUUCAUCAUCCCGGCGACCACCAGAUGAGGAGGGAGUAGUCCACCCUCGGGGCUGAGGGUUUGUACUAGUAGCUAUGUGUUUAAUCUCUCUCUCUCUCUCUCUCUCUCUCUCGUGUUCUUGAGAUGUCACGAUCUUGAUGUAUCGCGGGCUUUGUUAAUAUAGUAGGAUCAUAUGGUGUUUCCCCCUCUCUAUCUUGUUGUGAUGAAUUGAGUUUUUCCCUUUGAGAUUUCGUUGUUAUUGGAUUGAAUACUUUUAUGGAUUUGAGAGCACUCGAUAUAUGUCUUGCAUAUGAAUACUCGUGGUGACAAUGGGGUAUAUAUUGAUUCACUUGAUAUGUGUUUUGGUAUUCAACUUGCGGAUUCCCGCGGUGACAUUGGGGUAAUCUAUGCAUAGGGGUUGGUGCACGUUCUCGUCUUUUGUUUCUCCGAUAGAAAUCUUGGGGCACUCUUUGAGGUUCUUUGUGUUGGAUUGAGCAUUAUGAAUCUGAAAUUAUUUGGUGUUAUUUUAGUACGAACUCUUGGAUAGAUCGAUCAGAAAGAUAGCUUUGAGGUGGUUUUGUACCCUACAAACAAUUUCGUCUUAUGUUCUCCAGGAACUUCGGAGUGAUUCUUCAUUGCACGUUGAGGGACGGUUAUAUGAUCCAGUUAUAUUAGCACCGUUGAGAGAUUGCACUAGCGAAAGUACGGACCCUAGGCCUCAUUUUCAAGCAUUGCAAUACCGUUUUUGUGCACGUUUACUAUUUGCUACCUUGCUGUUUUUAUUUAUUCAGAUUAUAAAAAUAUAUUUCUAGCAUCCAUAUUACACUUUUAUCACCAUCUCUUCGCCGAACUAGUGCACCUAUACAAUUUGCCAUUGUAUUGGGUGUGUUGGGGACACAAGAGAUUUCUUGUAUUUGGUUGCAGGGUUGUUUGAGAGAGACCAUCUUCAUCCUGCACCUCUCAUGGAUUGAUAAACCUUAGGUCAUCCACUUGAGGGGAAAUUUCUACCGUCCUACAAAACUCUGCGCUUGGAGGCCCAACACGUGUCUACAAGAAUAAAGUUGCAUAGUAGACAUCAAGCUCUUUUCUGGAGCCGUUGCCGGGGAGGUGAGUGCAUGAAGGUAUAUCUUUAGACCAUGCAAUCGAAUCUUUUAGUUUCUUGUUUAUAUCACUAGUUUGGUUUAUAAAAAAAUGGAAUUGAGGUUGCAUCAUAUUAUUCAUCUUUAUAAUGUCUUUCGUGAAAAUGAUGGAAAGGAAAAUUGUGCUCAAUUGAUAUAAGAAUAAUUCAAUAGAAUGUUUGGUAUAAAAUGAUGAGCAUGAUUGCAAUGUGUUAGUAUGAAUUCUUUGAAUAUCUAUGAUGCUAAUGAUAUGCAAAGCCGUAAGCUUGGGGAUGCUAUGUUUGAUGAAGAUGAUAUUUUUACUCCCCCAAGAUUUGAUGUGCAAAUUUGUUAUAAUGAUUGCAUGCCUCCUAUUUAUGAUGAUUAUAAUGAUGAAAGUGGAUUUGGAGAGGUCAUUACUUUAUUUAGUGAUGAAUCCACCAUUUUGAAUGAGGCUUCAAUUGACUAUGAUAACAAAGUUGCUAUCUAUGAUGAUUAUGGUGAUGACAUGUAUGCUAUAAAGAAUAAUGAUAACCAUGAAACUUGUCAUCAUGAUUUUAAUUUUCACUCUCAAGGUAGUUAUUUUGUUGAGUUUGCUCCCACUACUAUCGAUGAGAAGAAAUUUGCUUAUGUGGUGAGUAAUAAGUUUUCUAUGCUUUUGUGUCAUGAAAAGAAUGCUUUAUGUGAUGGUUAUAUUGUUUAAUUUCUUCAUGAUUCUACUAAAAAUUAUUAUGAGGGGGGAACUUAUGCUUGUAGGAAUUGCAAUAAUAUCAAGUUUCCUCUCUAUGUGUGGAAAGUUUUGAAGUUAUGCUUGUUUUGCCUUUCUAUGCUAGUUGAUUCUGGUUCCCAUAAGUUGUUUGCUCAAAAAAUCCCUAUGCAUAGGAACAUAGUUAGGCUUAAAUGUGCUUGCCAUGUGUUUCAUGAUGCUCUUGUUAUAUUUCAAUUCUUAUCUUUUAUGCGAGCAUCAUUGAAAUAAUCAUGCCUAGCUAAAAGGCAUUAAAAAAAAGCGCUUGUUGGGAGACAACCCAACACUUUUACCUACUGUUUUUGUAUGUUCACAUGAUUAGGCUACUGUAGUAAUCAUGUUUUAUUGCUUUAGGUUCAAUAAAGUGCCAAGUAAGACCUUUGGGAUGGCUUACGGUGAUAGUUGAUUUGAUCUUGCUGAAAAACAGAAACUUUGGCUCUCAGAAAAAAAAAUCUCAUUUUUAACAGAAGCGUGAUAAAAUUCUGAUUCUUUUUGAAGAAGAUUAAUAGAAAAUUUUCCCAGGUUUACUAUUUUGUAAGAAAUUUUGGAGUAGUAUAAAUAUGGUUGGAGUACAGAGUACUACAGACUGUUCUGUUUUUGACAGAUUCUGUUUUCAAUGCAUAGUUUGCUUGUUUUCUAAUUUCCAUGGCUUAUAUUGCUCAAUAUAAAUUGUCGGAAUGAUAUGCUACAGUAGGCAUUGUGUGAGAACAAUUAUGAAUCUUGUCUUUGACAGUAACAAAAGUGAAAUGGUUUGCUCUUUAUCAUACUAACCUAUCUCACAAAGUUUCGUUAAGUUUUGUGUGAUUGAAGUUUUCAAGUUUUGGGUGAGAUAUCCAUAUGAGGAGAAUAAGGAGUGACAAGACCCUAAGCUUAGCGAUUCCCAAGAGACCCCCAAGUUAAUAUCCAAUGAAUAUCCGAGCAAGUAAGCUUGGGGAUGCCCAAGAAGGCAUCCCCUCUUUCGUCUCCAACAUUAUCGGUAACCUCACUUGGAGCUAUGUUUUCGCUCGUCACAUGAUAUGAGUUUUGCUUGGAGUGUAAUUUUAUUUUAUUUGUAUUUGCUUUCUGUUGUUUAGUUUAAUAUUUUGCAUCUUUAUUUUCAAUAAAAAUAUCAAGUAUAGCCUUUGCCAUGCUUAUUUUGCAAGUCUACAUGUUGCUGUUUCAAAACAGAAAGUUUAUCGAUGUUGCAAAAAUUCCCUAGAAAAGUCAGUAUGUGAUAAAAUGUUGAAACUUUUGCAAAAUAAGAUCUGAUAAAUUUUCUACAGUGUGGUAAAUUUUCAUAAUCUUUGGAGUUUAAUAAGUAUUGAUACUCUUGCAUUCUUUACAGACUGUACUGUUUUGGCAGAUUGCUGUUAUGUUUGCAUUGUUUGCAUAUGUUUUGCUUGUUUAAUGAUUCUAUUUGAGGAUAGGAGUAUUAAAUAAGCAUAGGAAUUUAGUAUGAAAUGUUGAAUAAUAAUUUUAGUGAUUUUCUAUAGUAGAGAAUGAUAAGGUUUUUGCAUUGGUUUAUACUAAUUUAUCUCACGAGUUCUUGUUGAGUUUUGUGUGGAUGAAGCUUUUGAGAUUUAGGAAAACCGUGAUAUGGGAAGAAUUAAGGAGACACAAAAGCUCAAGCUUUGGGAUGCUCAAGGAAUCCCAAGAUAAUAUUUCAAGAACACUCAAGCAUCAAAUCUUGGGGAUGCCCUGGUAGGCAUCCCACCUUUCUUCUUCAACAAUUAUCGGUUAGUAUCGGUUGAGCCUAAGUUUUUGCUUCUUCACACGAUGUGUGCUAUUCUUAGAAUGCCAUUUUAUUUUUUUUGCUUGCUGUUUUAAUAAAAUACUUAGAUUUGAAAGUUUUUAAAUAAAAUAGAGUCCUCAAAUAGUUGCCAGGGAGGCUAGGUAAGCGACAUUCACAUCCCGUCAACGAAGCUCUUUGUAUAUGGAAUUGCACUAAUGCUUUACUUAUAUCUUUUUGAGCACGGUGUGCUUUAGUAUUUUUGAAGAAAUCCUCUCUUGCUUAACUUAAAUUAAUUUGAGAGAAGGAAAUAUUAUGCUCAUGAUCUUCACUUAUAUUUGUUUGAUCUUAUCAAAAGCAACACAUGAAAAUUAGUCCCAAAGUGAUAGAUAUACAAGAAGAUAUAAUAAAAACUUUCAUGAAGAUCAUUGGACAAAAUAAACUUGAUUCCUCGUAAUAGUUUUGAGAUAUGAUGAUGUGAUAUGUGAGUCAUGUUGAUGAUUAAUUAUGCUUUAGUAAGAAUAUUGGUGUUAAGGUUUGUGAUUUCCUAUGCAAGCACGAAAGUCAAUAGUUGUGUAAUGAAACUACAUCCUACUUGUGGUGCAUUAUUCGGUGUUAAUUAUGCUCAAUGCUCGCUUAUGAGAUUAUUCGUUUCUUGGUUGGUCGCUGCUCAAUCUUUUGCUAGCCUUCACUUUGCACUAAGUAUGAUCACUACUUGUGCAUCCAAAAUCCUUUAAACAAAUUUUGCCACAUGAGUCCACUAUACCUACCUAUAUGCGGUAUUCUUUUACCGUUGGAAGCAAAUUUGUAUGUGCCAUCUCUAAUUUCAAAAUAAAUUUCUCUUUUGUGUGCUCGUACCGCUCGCGAGGCAGUGAGGGGUGGCCAAUAUUUUCCAUGCUAGAUGUGUUAUUCUCACGAUGAGUGUUUAUUCACUUGUCAUUGCACGAGAGUAAGGCAGGGAUGCCCAGUCCUGAAAUGAAAAAUGAAUUUACUUUAUGUUGUCAAAUAAUAAAUUCCUUGGAAAGUGUUGGUAUGGAGGGCACCAGUGGAUAUGGUUAGCCAUGGAAAUUGAAAGUAUGGUGGAAAAAGGAACAAACUUUAUUUUCUGUUCGGGAACCGCCUAUGAUAUAUCUAGCAUGGAAAGUGUUGGGAGCUCUAAGUCAUUUUCGUUGGUGGGAAAACUAUGCCUCUCAAAAUGUUUUUAUCUCUCAAUUUUCGCUUUGGGCUCUGGCACCUCUACAAAUCACUACUUCCCUCUAUGAAGGGCCUUUCUUUUACUUUAUGCAAUUUUUAUUUUUAAUUUGAGUGUCCAUCUUCUCUUAUAAAGAACCAACUAGGGGGCACUAUGGUCGUACUUGAGCAUUGGGUGUAGCUAAUAUGCGAGUGUGUUUCAUGAAUGGAUCAAUGAUUGAGCAUGAUGGGCUAGGGAUAGCUUAUUUUCGCGUUGAUAUUUUGAAAGACAUGGUUGCUUGUUGAUAUGCCUGAGUAUUUAAGUUAUCAUGUCAAAACUAGACUAUAGCUUCGAACAAUAUAAAAGUCAAAAUGUCCAUGCUAUAAAGAAAAGAAUAUAGAUGACAUGUUAGGCAACAUUCCACAUCAAAAAUUCUAUUUUUUAUCAUUUACCUACUCAAGGACGAGCAUGAAUUAAGCUUGGGGAUGCUGAUACGUCUCCAACGUAUCUAUAAUUUGUUAUUGUUCCAUGCUGUUAUAUUAUCAUUCUUGGAUGUUUCAUAAUCAUUUUAUAUCUUUUUUGGGACUAACCUAUUGACAUAGUGCCAAGUGCUGUUUUUGCAUGUAUUUUACAUCGCAGGAAAUCAAUAUCAAACGGACUCCAAACGCCGUGAAACUUUUUAGAGAUUUUUUGUGGACCAGAACACCCAGGAUGGGCCAGAGCAGCACCAGGGGGGGUUGCCCCGAGGGGGGCACAACCCACCAGGGCACGCCUGGGGGCUGAGGCGCGCCCAGGUGGGUUAUGCCCACCUCGGUGGCCUCCUGCACCCACUCUUUACCCUAUAAAGUCCCAAAAUUCCAGAAACCCUCGGGGUUAACCUAGAUCAUAAGUUCCACCGCCGCAAGGCUCUAUAGCCACCGAAAACCAAUCUAGACCCCAUUCCGGCACCCUGCCGCAGGGGGGAAUCAUCUCCGGUGGCCAUCUUCAUCAUCCCGGCGGCCACCACGAUGAGGAGGGAGUAGUCCACCCUCGGGCUGAGGGUUCUUACUAGUAGCUAUGUGUUUAAUCUCUCUCUCUCUCGUCUUGAGAUGUCAUGAUCUUGAUGUAUCGUGGGCUUUGUUAAUAUAGUUGGAUCAUAUGGUGUUUUCCCCUCUCUAUCUUGUUGUGAUGAAUUGAGUUUUUCCCUUUGAGAUUUCGUUGCUAUCAGAUUGAAUACUUUUAUGGAUUUGAGAGCACUUGAUAUAUGUCUUGCAUAUGAAUACUUGUGCUGACAAUGGGGUAUAUAUUGAUUCACUUGAUAUGUGUUUUGGCAUUCAACUCGCGGAUUCCCGCGGUGACAUUGGGGUAAUCUAUGCAUAGGGGUUGGUGCAUGUUCUCAUCUUCUGUUUCUCCGGUAGAAAUCUUGGGGCACUCUUUGAGGUUCUUUGUGUUGGAUUGAGCAUUAUGAAUCUGAAAUUAUUUGCUGCUAUUUUAGUAUGAACUCUUGGAUAGAUCGAUCGGAAAGAAUAGCUUUGAGGUGGUUUUGUACCCUACAAACAAUUCCGUCUUAUGUUCUCUGCUAGAUAGGAACUUUGGAGUGAUUCUUCAUUGCACGUUGAGGGACGGUUAUAUGACCCAAUUAUAUUAGCACUGUUGAGAGAUUGCACUAGCGAAAGUACGGACCCUAGGCCUCAUUUUCAAGCAUUGCAAUACUAUUUUUGUGCCCGUUUACUAUUUGCUACUUGCUGUUUUUAUUUAUUCAGAUUAUAAAAAUAUAUGUCUACCAUCCAUAUUACACUUUUAUCACCAUCUCUUCGCCGAACUAGUGCACCUAUACAAUUUUCCAUUGUAUUGGGUGUGUUGGGGACACAAGAGAUUUCUUGUAUUUGGUUGCAGGGUCGUUUGAGAGAGACCAUAUUCAUCCUACACCUCUCACGGAUUGAUAAACCUUAGGUCAUCCACUUGAGGGAAAAUUUCUACCGUCCUACAUAACUCUGCACUUGGAGGCCCAACACAUGUCUAUAAGAAUAAAGUUGCAUAGUAGACAUCAGAUAUGGUCAAGGAAUGAUGUGAUAUACGUUAUUGUAUGAGAUGAUCAUGUUUUGUAAAAUUUAUCGGCAACUGACAUGAGCCUUAUGGUUGUCUCUUUAUUGUAUGAAAUGCAAACGCCAUAUAAUUGCUUUACUUUAUCACUAUGCAUUAGCGAUAGUUGUAGAAGCAAUAGUUGGUGAGACGACCAUGACGCAAUGAUGGAGAUCAUGGUGUCGAGCCGGUGACAAAGGAGAUCAUGACGAUGCUUUGGAGAUGGAGAUCGAAAGCACAAGAUGAUGAUGGCCAUAUAAUGUCACAUAUUUUGAUUGCAUGUGAUGUUUAUCUUUUGUACAUCUUAUUUUGCUUAGUACGGCAGUGGCAUUCUAAAAUGACCCUUUAACUAAAUUUCAAGGUAAAAGUGUUCUCCCUGAGUAUGCACCAUUGCUACAGUUCGUCGUGUUGAGACACCACGUGAUGAUCGGGUGUGAUAGACUCUACGUUCACAUACAACGGGUGCAAGACAAUUUUGCACAUGUGGAAUACUUAGGUUAAACUUGACGAGCCUAGCAUGUACAAACAUGGCCUCAGAACACUGGAGACCGAAAGGUCGUAAGUGAAUCAUAUAGUAGAUAUGAUCAACAUAGAGAUGUUCACCAUUAAUGACUACUCCAUCUCACGUGAUGAUUGGACAUGGUUUAGUUGAUUUGGAUCACAUAUCAUUUAGAUGACUUGAGGGAUGUCUAUCUAAGUGGGAGUUCUUAUGUAAUUUGAUUAAUUGAACUUAAUUUAUCAUGAACUUAGUCCUGAUAGUUUUUGCAUAUCUAUGUUAUAGAUCAAUGGCCCGUGCUAUUGUUCCCCUGUAUUUUAGUGCGUUCCUAGAGAAAGCUAAGUUGAAAGAUGAUGGUAGCAACUACAUGGACUGGGUUUGUAACUUGAGGAUUAUCCUCAUUGCUGCACAAAAGAAUUAUGUCCUUCAUGCACCGCUAGGUGAAAGGCCUGCUGCAGGAGCAGAUGCUGAUGAUUUGAACGUGUGGCAAGCUCGAUCUGAUGACUGCUCGAUAGUUCAGUGUGCCAUGCUUUACGGCUUACAAUCGGGACUUCAAAGACAUUUUGAAAGUGAUGGACCAUAUGAGAUGUUUCCAGGAGUUGAAGUUAAUAUUUCAAGCAAAUGCCCAAGUUGAGAGAUAUGAAGUCUUCAACAAGUUCUAUAGCUGCAAGAUGGAGGAGAACAGUUCUGUCAGUGAACACAUACUAAAAAUGUAUGGGUAUCAUAAUCGCUUGACUCAGCUAGGAGUUAAUCUUCCAGAUGAUAGUGUUAUUGAUAGAGUUCUUCAAUCAUUGCCACCAAGCUACAAAGGCUUCAUGAUGAACUAUAAUAUGCAAGGGAUGGAGAAGACAAUUCCCGAGCUCUUUGCAAUGCUCAAAGCUGCGGAGGCAGAAAUCAAGAAGGGGCAUCAAGCAUUGAUGGUUAACAAGACCACUAGUUUUAAGAAAAAGGGCAAGGGAAAGAAAGGGAACUUCAAGAAGAAUGGCAAGCAAGUUGCCACUCCCGGGAAGAAGCCCAAAGCUGGACCCAAGCCUGAAACUGAGUGCUUCUACUGCAAAGGGACUGGUCACUGGAAGCGAAACUGCCCCAAGUAUUUGGCGGAUAAGAAGGAUGGCAAAGUCAACAAAGGUAUAUUUGAUAUACAUGUUAUAGAUGUGUACCUUACUAAUGCUCGUAGUAGCGCCGGGUAUUUGAUACUGGUUCGGUUGCUCAUAUUUGUAACUCGAAACAUGAGCUAUGGAUUAAACGAAGAUUUGCUAAGGAUGAGGUGACAAUGCGCGUGGGGAAUGGUUCCAAGGUCGAUGUGAUUGCCGUCGGCACGCUACCUUGAUAAUCCCCAAGUGUAGGGAAUCAUCGUAGCAAUUCCCAAUGGUGGAAGUGAUAAGUAUGGAGUGUCGAACCCACAAGGAGCUAAAGGUAAGAUCAAUAUUCUCUCAAGUCCUAUCUGCCUCUGAUACGACUCUACGUACACCGAACGUUUGCUUCCAACUAGCAACGAGAAAUAAACUAUGUUGUGGGUAUGAAGUGGAUAACUUUGCAUGAUAUCGGAGAGCUAAAAUAUGAAAGUAGGUGUUGUUAUCAUAAAGUUAGAAUAUAUUACUAAACAUUAUAAAUAGCGAGUGUGGAAUAAUGGUGGAUCGGUGCGGAAUUGUCCUAGGCAAUUAUUAACAAGACCGAUAGUCGUCAUUGCAAUUUCAUAUGAGGGAGAGGCAUAAGCUAACAUACUUUCUCUUCUUGGAUCAUAUGCACUUAUGAUUGGAACUCUAGCAAGCAUCCGCAACUACUAAAGAUCAUUAAGGUAAAACCCAACCAUAGCAUUAAAGCAUCAAGUCCCCUUUAUCCCAUAUGCAACAAUCCCCUUACUCGGGUUUAUGCUUCUGUCACUCACGCAACCCACUAUAAGAGAAUCAUGAACGUAUUGCAACACCCUACAACGGGAAUCCCUCACGCUUGCGCGACACGGAGGGCACAAUAGGACAACACCAAAAUAAAACAUACAACUCGUACCAAUCUAGAUCAUCAAUCAACCCAAAGACAAAAGAUAUCUACUCAAAACAUCAUAGGAUGGCAACACAUCAUUUGAUCAUAACAUGUGGCAUAAAGCACCAUGUUCAAGUAGGGAUUAUAGCGGGGUGCGGGAGAGUGGACUGCGUAAAAGAGAUGACGAUGGUGAUGAUGAUGGUGAUGUUGAUGAAGACGAUCACCGCAACGAUGAUUCCCCUCUCGAUGGCACUCCGGUGCCACCAAGAGAGAGGAGGAGAGGUUCUUCCCCUUGUGCUUCCUCCUCCAUGGCCUCCCCCCUGGAUGGGGAGAGGUUCCCCCUCUGGUCCUUGGCCUUCAUGGUGAUGAUGGCCCCUCCGAGAUCCUCCUCCAUGCCCUCUGGUGAUGAUGGCCCCUCCGGCAGGGUGCUGGAGAGGGACUAGAUUGGUUUUCGGUGGCUACGGAGGCUUCUGGCGGUGGAACUCCCGAUCUAGGUUAAUUUUCGGAGGUUUCUAUAUUUAUAGGAGAAGUCAGCGUUGAUUUCACGUCAGGGGGCCCCACAGGAAGUCCACGAGCAGGGGGCGCACCCCAGGGGGAUGGGCGCGCCCCCCACCCUCGUGGGUCCCCCAUGACCCCCCUUCAGUGGAUUUUUGUUCCAGUAUUUUUCAUAUUUUCUAGAAAAAAUCUCCGUUGAUUUUCAUCGUAUUCCGAGAACUUUUAUUUCUGCACAAAAACAACACCACGGUAGUUCUGCUAAAAACAACGUCAGUCCGGGUUAGUUCUAAUCAAAUCAUACCAAAAUCAUAUAAAAAUAUUGUAAACAUGUCAUGAAUACUUCAUAAAUUAUAGAUACGUUGGAGACGUAUCAGCAUCCCCAAGCUUAAUUCCCGCUCGUCCUCGAGUAGGUAAAUGAUAAAAGAAAUAAUUUAUGAAGUGUGAAUGCAAGCAAGUGCACAAGUUUGAUCCAUGAUAGUUCCAAUCACUUUUUCUAGCAUCAUUAUAUAUCAUAACAGUAGCUUAUUUUCAUAAAAGUUUUCAUGAUCAAGUAACAAGCUAUUCACAUGUUAAAGUAUAGAUCAUAAACUUUCUUGAAACUAACAAACUAUAUUCUUAGUCAUCAAACAAUUGCAAUUCAUCUUAUUUUCAGGAAGGGUCUAUAUCAGAGCUUUGAUUUAGCAAACUCCACAUACUCAACUAACAUUUAAUCUUUCACAAUUGCCAACACUCACACGAUAUUUAUGGGUUCAAAGUUUUAAUCGGGCACAGAGAAAGAUAGGGGCUUAUAGAUUUGCCUCCCAACCUUUUACCUCAAGGGUAAUGUCAACAAUAAUAGUUCAUGAUAACUUACAUCCAAUUGGAUAUAUAUACAUCAGGAUCUUUCCAACACAAUGUGCUUGCCAAAGGAUAAAAUGUAAAAAGGAAAGGUGAAGAUCACCAUGACUCUUGCAUAAGGGUAGAAGAUAAAAGUAAAAGAUAGGCCCUUCGCAAAGGGAAGCAGAGGUUGUCAUGCGCUUUUAUGGUUGGAUGCACAAAAUCUUAAUGUAAAAGAACGUCACUUUAUAUUGCCACGUGUGAUAUGGACCUUUAUUAUGCAGUCCAUCGCUUUUAUUUCUUCCACAUCACAAGAUCGUAUAAAGCUUAUUUUCUCCACAUUAAUAGAUCAUACAUAUUUAGAGGGCAAUUUUUAUUGCAUGCACCGAUGACAACUUACUUGAAGGAUCUUACUCAAUCCAUAGGUAGGUAUGGUGGACUCUCAUGGCAAAACUGGUUUAAGGAAUGUUUGGAAGCACAAGUAGUAUCUCUACUUGGUGCAGAGAAUUUGGCUAGCAUGAGUGGGAAAAGCAAGCUCAACAUGUUGGAUGAUCCAAGACAAUAUACUUUAUUUCGGAUAUAAGAAAACAUAACCCAUUAUGUUGUCUUCCUUGUCCGACAUCAACCAUUUAGCAUGUCAUAUUUUAAUGAGUGCUCACAAUUACAAAAGAUGUCCAAGAUAGUAUAUUUAUAUGUGAAAUCUCUCUUCCUUCAAUAUUCUUUCAUGAAUUGUUCAAGUGACCAAUUCAACGUUUGCUAACUUUCAAUAAGUUUACUACCUAUACUUAUUCUGUGUGAAGUCAUUACUCCCCAUGGUAUAAGCAUAUGAAACAUAUAUAGAUUCAGAUUUAUGAUAUUCAAUUCAUUCAACCAUUUACUCAUAGGAUAUAUGUGAAGCACAUGAGUAAAUGACAAACUACUCCAAAAAGAUAUAAGUGAAGGACAUUGAGUAGUCAAAUAAUUAACUAGCCAUGGGAGGGUUCUUUUUCAUUUAAGAUUUCAGAUCCAAUGAUUUUAUUCAAACUGCAAGUAAAAUUGAAAAUACACUCCAAGAAAAACACAUAUCAUGUGACGAAUAAAAAUAUAGCUCCGAGUAAGGUAUACCGAUAGUUUUUGAAGACGAAAGAGGGGAUGCCUUUCCGAGACAUCCCCAAGCUUAGGCGCUUGAGUCUUCCUUGAAUAUUACCUUGGGGUUCCUUGGGAAUCCCCAAUCUUAGGGUCUUUCCACUCCUUAGUCUCCUCAAAUCGAUAUCUCACCCAAAGCUUGAAAACUUCAAUCAUACAAAACUUAACGGAACUUUGUGAGAUAGGUUAGUAUGAUAAAGAGUAAACCAUUCACUUUGGUACUGUCAAAGACAAGGCUCAUAAUUGUUCUCACACAAUGCCUACUGUACCAUAUCAUCUCUACAAUUUAUAUUGAGAAAUAUAAGCCAUAGGAACUAGAAAACAAGCAAACUAUGCAGUGAGAACAGAAUCUGUCAGAAACAGAACUGUCUGUAAUGGUCUGAACACUAACCAUACUUCUGCAACUAAAACAAUUAUUAAAUAAAUUGGUGGAAGUGAGGAAUUUUCUAUUAAUCUUCUGCAAAAAGAAUCAGCACCAAAGCACUCUUCUGUAAAAAAAUGGCAGCUAAUCUCGUGAGCGCAAAGUUUCUGUUUUUUACAGCAAGAUCACAUUAACUUUCACCCAAGUCUUCCAAAGGUCUUACUUGGCACUUUAUUGAAACAAAAGCUAUAAUACAUGCUUAAUAUAGUAGCUUAUCAUGAGAACACACAAAAAUAGUAAAGGUAAAUAUUGGGUUGUCUCCCAACAAGCACUUUUAUUUAAUGCCUUUUAGCUAGGCAUGAUGAUUUCAAUGAUGCUCACAUAAAAGAUAAGAAUUGAAACAUAAAGAGAGCAUCAUGAAGAAUAUGACUAGCAUAUUUAAAUCUAACCCACUUCCUAUGCCUAGGGAUUUUGUGAGCACAUAAUUUAUAGGAACAAGAAUCAACUAGCAUAGGAAGGCAAAACAAGUAUAACUUCAAAACUUUAAGCACAUAGAGAGGAAAAUUGAUAUUAUUACAACUCCUACAAGCAUAUAUUCCUCCCUCAUAAUAAUUUUUAGUAGCAUCAUGAAUGAAUUCAACAACAUAACCAUCACAUAAAGCAUUCUUUUCAUGAUCUACAAGCAUAGAAAUUCUCUCCAAAUAAGCAAAAUUCUUCUCAUUCGGAAUAGCGGGAUCACUAGUUCCUAAAGUUGACACUCUUCCAAAUCCACUUUAGAUGAUAGUAUUAUUCAUACUCCAAAAGAUAUAAGUGAAGUUCAUGGAGCAUUCUACAAUUAAUAUAAACUAACCAAUAUCCAAGCUCAAAAUGUAUAAGUGAAGCACAUGAAGCAUUCUAUAAAUUGAUGAAGGGACAUUCUCAUACUAGCAUGGUUCUUAAAGAAAAAUAAAAACAC
This 33795-nucleotide long non-coding RNA is filed under the name Triticum aestivum (bread wheat). RNAcentral's name for it is "long non-coding RNA (TAES_LNC025258)". Lineage: Eukaryota; Viridiplantae; Streptophyta; Magnoliopsida; Poales; Poaceae. The record is from RNAcentral.